Long non-coding RNA from Beta vulgaris subsp. vulgaris (sugar beet), 838 nucleotides. RefSeq lists it as uncharacterized. The transcript has 3 exons. The record is from RefSeq and is a predicted model, not a curated record. Lineage: Eukaryota; Viridiplantae; Streptophyta; Magnoliopsida; Caryophyllales; Amaranthaceae.
AUGGAGAAGCCCGGCAUAUUGCACAUUAUGAAAUAUAUUUAGGAAAAGAACUUUCUAGAGCAUUUAUUAUUAUAUUGUCCAAACAAAAGUAGAAAACCCUAAAUCUAACAUUUUCAACUUUUAUUUUACUAAGUUAGAGCCGCUUUCUUCUCUAGCUCACUCAUCUCUUCUUCUUCUUCAUUUCUUCUCCAUCAACAAAUCUACUCGGACCUUGCGCGAGACGGUGAGCCUAUUUCAUUUUACAUAGCUAUGACAGAAGGUAGUUAUGUUAAUCCGCUUGACUUGGGGGGAGAUGAAGAUGAUAUUUCGUGCAACAAAUUCUUGGAAAAAAUCAAAAACUUUAGAAAGCCCGUUAGCCUGUGGGCUGUCCGCCCGUUACAUAAAGGGCGGGUAAGGACAACCAAUAUCUCAUUUAGCGGACGGGUAAUGGCAACAUUUUAAGGCCCAUUGGACAAUUUUUUGGUAGUUGGCCCGUCCAUUCCCCGUCCAAGCCCGCAAAUGAUAAGCUCUACUAUAGGUUAUCAAAUGAUGUCAAGACUUUGUUUACAAUCACUCGAAUUGAAUCCCGUUCUACUUCACAACUACAAAAGAUCGACAGACCCCUUGCAGAAGGUUGCAUCAGACAUCGAUGUGAAAGACGAGAAUUUUCAGAAGUGUUAGAUCUACUCAACGAUCGUGGUUUUGUCAUAUUAGAAUUGUAUUUAUUUCAUUUUAAUAUAUGUAUAUUUGUUUAGUUUUGACUUUUAUUAUAGAUAUUGUAUGACCUUGAAUCAAUUAAUGUUAAUUAUUUUUUAAAAAAAAACUCGUGGAAAAAGAAAAUCUUUUGACAGCAGCUCAA